AACUCUCAACCCCCUCGUUUUGUAAUGAGACGAGCUGCGGGCUUGGUUUAUGGCUGUUUGUCGGCGUAAAUGCCGGCUCGGCUGAAAUUGACGAGCUACCCUGUUUGAAUACCAGACGGCUUGACUCGGCGUAAUAACUAUUUCGCUGAGGACGUCUACCUUUCAAAUCGUUAGUGGUGCUUCUAAUGCAACUUAUAACUUUAAGC
Molecule: unclassified non-coding RNA, 206 nt
Filed under: uncultured Symmetrospora
Lineage: Eukaryota; Fungi; Basidiomycota; Cystobasidiomycetes
Description: sequence contains ITS2
Source: RNAcentral